This 718-nucleotide ribosomal RNA is filed under the name Sporosarcina sp. Its description in RNAcentral is "bacterial SSU rRNA". It matches the Rfam family "Bacterial small subunit ribosomal RNA", at positions 35 to 733 of the family's 1533-position model. Lineage: Bacteria; Bacillati; Bacillota; Bacilli; Caryophanales; Caryophanaceae. The record is from RNAcentral.
GUUGGGGUGGGGCUGCUAUACAUGCAGUCGAGCGGAUGAUGAAGAAGCUUGCUUCUUCUGAUUUUAGCGGCGGACGGGUGAGUAACACGUGGGCAACCUACCUUGUAGAUUGGGAUAACUCCGGGAAACCGGGGCUAAUACCGAAUAAUCCAUUUUGCUUCAUGGCGAAAUGUUGAAAGGCGGCUUCGGCUGUCACUACGAGAUGGGCCCGCGGCGUAUUAGCUAGUUGGUAGGGUAAUGGCCUACCAAGGCGACGAUACGUAGCCGACCUGAGAGGGUGAUCGGCCACACUGGGACUGAGACACGGCCCAGACUCCUACGGGAGGCAGCAGUAGGGAAUCUUCCACAAUGGACGAAAGUCUGAUGGAGCAACGCCGCGUGAGUGAAGAAGGUUUUCGGAUCGUAAAACUCUGUUGUAAGGGAAGAACACGUACGAGAGUAACUGCUCGUACCUUGACGGUACCUUAUUAGAAAGCCACGGCUAACUACGUGCCAGCAGCCGCGGUAAUACGUAGGUGGCAAGCGUUGUCCGGAAUUAUUGGGCGUAAAGCGCGCGCAGGCGGUUCUUUAAGUCUGAUGUGAAAGCCCACGGCUCAACCGUGGAGGGUCAUUGGAAACUGGAGAACUUGAGUACAGAAGAGGAAAGCGGAAUUCCACGUGUAGCGGUGAAAUGCGUAGAGAUGUGGAGGAACACCAGUGGCGAAGGCGGCUUUCUGGU